GGGUUGUGAGGUUAAGCGACUAAGCGUACACGGUGGAUGCCCUGGCAGUCAGAGGCGAUGAAGGACGUGCUAAUCUGCGAUAAGCGUCGGUAAGGUGAUAUGAACCGUUAUAACCGGCGAUUUCCGAAUGGGGAAACCCAGUGUGUUUCGACACACUAUCAUUAACUGAAUCCAUAGGUUAAUGAGGCGAACCGGGGGAACUGAAACAUCUAAGUACCCCGAGGAAAAGAAAUCAACCGAGAUUCCCCCAGUAGCGGCGAGCGAACGGGGAGCAGCCCAGAGCCUGAAUCAGUGUGUGUGUUAGUGGAAGCGUCUGGAAAGGCGCGCGAUACAGGGUGACAGCCCCGUACACAAAAAUGCACAUGCUGUGAGCUCGAUGAGUAGGGCGGGACACGUGGUAUCCUGUCUGAAUAUGGGGGGACCAUCCUCCAAGGCUAAAUACUCCUGACUGACCGAUAGUGAACCAGUACCGUGAGGGAAAGGCGAAAAGAACCCCGGCGAGGGGAGUGAAAAAGAACCUGAAACCGUGUACGUACAAGCAGUGGGAGCACGCUUAGGCGUGUGACUGCGUACCUUUUGUAUAAUGGGUCAGCGACUUAUAUUCUGUAGCAAGGUUAACCGAAUAGGGGAGCCGAAGGGAAACCGAGUCUUAACUGGGCGUUAAGUUGCAGGGUAUAGACCCGAAACCCGGUGAUCUAGCCAUGGGCAGGUUGAAGGUUGGGUAACACUAACUGGAGGACCGAACCGACUAAUGUUGAAAAAUUAGCGGAUGACUUGUGGCUGGGGGUGAAAGGCCAAUCAAACCGGGAGAUAGCUGGUUCUCCCCGAAAGCUAUUUAGGUAGCGCCUCGUGAAUUCAUCUCCGGGGGUAGAGCACUGUUUCGGCAAGGGGGUCAUCCCGACUUACCAACCCGAUGCAAACUGCGAAUACCGGAGAAUGUUAUCACGGGAGACACACGGCGGGUGCUAACGUCCGUCGUGAAGAGGGAAACAACCCAGACCGCCAGCUAAGGUCCCAAAGUCAUGGUUAAGUGGGAAACGAUGUGGGAAGGCCCAGACAGCCAGGAUGUUGGCUUAGAAGCAGCCAUCAUUUAAAGAAAGCGUAAUAGCUCACUGGUCGAGUCGGCCUGCGCGGAAGAUGUAACGGGGCUAAACCAUGCACCGAAGCUGCGGCAGCGACGCUGAUGCGUUGUUGGGUAGGGGAGCGUUCUGUAAGCCUGCGAAGGUGUGCUGUGAGGCAUGCUGGAGGUAUCAGAAGUGCGAAUGCUGACAUAAGUAACGAUAAAGCGGGUGAAAAGCCCGCUCGCCGGAAGACCAAGGGUUCCUGUCCAACGUUAAUCGGGGCAGGGUGAGUCGACCCCUAAGGCGAGGCCGAAAGGCGUAGUCGAUGGGAAACAGGUUAAUAUUCCUGUACUUGGUGUUACUGCGAAGGGGGGACGGAGAAGGCUAUGUUGGCCGGGCGACGGUUGUCCCGGUUUAAGCGUGUAGGCUGGUUUUCCAGGCAAAUCCGGAAAAUCAAGGCUGAGGCGUGAUGACGAGGCACUACGGUGCUGAAGCAACAAAUGCCCUGCUUCCAGGAAAAGCCUCUAAGCAUCAGGUAACAUCAAAUCGUACCCCAAACCGACACAGGUGGUCAGGUAGAGAAUACCAAGGCGCUUGAGAGAACUCGGGUGAAGGAACUAGGCAAAAUGGUGCCGUAACUUCGGGAGAAGGCACGCUGAUAUGUAGGUGAGGUCCCUCGCGGAUGGAGCUGAAAUCAGUCGAAGAUACCAGCUGGCUGCAACUGUUUAUUAAAAACACAGCACUGUGCAAACACGAAAGUGGACGUAUACGGUGUGACGCCUGCCCGGUGCCGGAAGGUUAAUUGAUGGGGUUAGCGCAAGCGAAGCUCUUGAUCGAAGCCCCGGUAAACGGCGGCCGUAACUAUAACGGUCCUAAGGUAGCGAAAUUCCUUGUCGGGUAAGUUCCGACCUGCACGAAUGGCGUAAUGAUGGCCAGGCUGUCUCCACCCGAGACUCAGUGAAAUUGAACUCGCUGUGAAGAUGCAGUGUACCCGCGGCAAGACGGAAAGACCCCGUGAACCUUUACUAUAGCUUGACACUGAACAUUGAGCCUUGAUGUGUAGGAUAGGUGGGAGGCUUGGAAGUGUGGACGCCAGUCUGCAUGGAGCCGACCUUGAAAUACCACCCUUUAAUGUUUGAUGUUCUAACGUUGACCCGUAAUCCGGGUUGCGGACAGUGUCUGGUGGGUAGUUUGACUGGGGCGGUCUCCUCCUAAAGAGUAACGGAGGAGCACGAAGGUUGGCUAAUCCUGGUCGGACAUCAGGAGGUUAGUGCAAUGGCAUAAGCCAGCUUGACUGCGAGCGUGACGGCGCGAGCAGGUGCGAAAGCAGGUCAUAGUGAUCCGGUGGUUCUGAAUGGAAGGGCCAUCGCUCAACGGAUAAAAGGUACUCCGGGGAUAACAGGCUGAUACCGCCCAAGAGUUCAUAUCGACGGCGGUGUUUGGCACCUCGAUGUCGGCUCAUCACAUCCUGGGGCUGAAGUAGGUCCCAAGGGUAUGGCUGUUCGCCAUUUAAAGUGGUACGCGAGCUGGGUUUAGAACGUCGUGAGACAGUUCGGUCCCUAUCUGCCGUGGGCGCUGGAGAACUGAGGGGGGCUGCUCCUAGUACGAGAGGACCGGAGUGGACGCAUCACUGGUGUUCGGGUUGUCAUGCCAAUGGCACUGCCCGGUAGCUAAAUGCGGAAGAGAUAAGUGCUGAAAGCAUCUAAGCACGAAACUUGCCCCGAGAUGAGUUCUCCCUGACUCCUUGAGAGUCCUGAAGGAACGUUGAAGACGACGACGUUGAUAGGCCGGGUGUGUAAGCGCAGCGAUGCGUUGAGCUAACCGGUACUAAUGAACCGUGAGGCUUAACCUUACAACGCCGAAG
RNAcentral lists this ribosomal RNA (2925 nucleotides) under Escherichia coli. RNAcentral describes it as "partial 23S ribosomal RNA". It matches the Rfam family "Bacterial large subunit ribosomal RNA". The record is from RNAcentral. Lineage: Bacteria; Pseudomonadati; Pseudomonadota; Gammaproteobacteria; Enterobacterales; Enterobacteriaceae.